Molecule: signal recognition particle RNA, 96 nt
Filed under: Actinomycetes bacterium
Lineage: Bacteria; Bacillati; Actinomycetota; Actinomycetes
Description: signal recognition particle sRNA small type
Rfam family: Bacterial small signal recognition particle RNA
About the family: The signal recognition particle (SRP) is a universally conserved ribonucleoprotein involved in the co-translational targeting of proteins to membranes. Archaeal SRP consists of a 7S RNA and homologues of the eukaryotic SRP19 and SRP54 proteins.
Source: RNAcentral
CGCUUGGGCUUGGACGGCGGUAUACCGCCAACCUGGUCAGGGCCGGAAGGCAGCAGCCAUACGUGGUCACUGUCGAGCGUCCAAGUCCAAGGGGCA